RNAcentral lists this long non-coding RNA (812 nucleotides) under Gallus gallus (chicken). The record is from RNAcentral. Lineage: Eukaryota; Metazoa; Chordata; Aves; Galliformes; Phasianidae.
GCUCCCUCUAAGCCCGGGUUCAAAGUCUCCCCCCCCUCCUCCCGGCACACACAUACCCGGGAAGAAAGCUGGAGCUGUCGCUCCUCUGCCAGCCCUCGUUGUGCCUUCCCUUUGUGCGAGCCCCCGCUAGCUAAGCAUGCAGCGAAGGAGGGAGGAUGCAAAGGCGGCCCGGGGGGAAUAAGCGCUCCCGCAUGCAGCCAGUCUGUGCAGCUCCUCAGUCAACUGAAACCACUCGUUCAAGACAGCAACAAUCCAGAUAUACUAGCAAGUCAUAAAACUGAACAAAAGCCGACAAACCUUAGAGCACCAUCGCUAUAUGGCCCAGACAAAUUACGACCGUCUAGGGGGAACCGUUGUGUGCUUAUCCCGUGUUACCAACGGUAACGCUAUUAAUCGACCAACAACAACAAAAAAAUCACUAAUUCCACAUCUUUAAGCAAAACUACGUUACGUAAAUAUCUACAACCAGAAAGAGAGAGAGAAAUUCAGAGCUUGAAAGAGCGAAGCGGGCCCGGGAAAGGCUGCAGGAACCGAGGAGGCUCACACAUGGCCCUCAGCGUUAGCGUGGCUCUCUUCCGCUCCCCCCGCAGCCCCGAAGCAGCUAUUAAGAGUUUAAGGACAUACUGAGAACGUCUAAAAUCGUUAAUCCGUACAGGUGCGGAUGACUACAGCCUAGGAAAAUGAUACUGGCUCUUUAAACCAUCAAGAUGUGUUUAUAGGUUCAUCAAGAGAAAUUAAAGUUGGCUGUGAGCUCCCGAAUCCUAUUCUCUCUGUUCAUUUUCUUCAGUUUCAUUCUGCGGUUCUGAAACCAG